ACACUCCACUGACCGGGGAGAGAGCAUGAUCACAAAGGCGGUUUUCCCAGGUUGAGGCUUCUCCGUUGUGCUCUGGACAUUCGGACCUGUGCAACUUCCCAAAUGUGAGAUUCUAACUGCAUUGUUUAUGGUAGUGGGGGUCUAUAGUAUCUGGGCUGGCCCGAU
RNAcentral lists this small nuclear RNA (165 nucleotides) under Meriones unguiculatus (Mongolian gerbil). RNAcentral describes it as "U1 spliceosomal RNA (ENSMUGG00000021764.1)". It matches the Rfam family "U1 spliceosomal RNA". Rfam says of the family: U1 is a small nuclear RNA (snRNA) component of the spliceosome (involved in pre-mRNA splicing). Lineage: Eukaryota; Metazoa; Chordata; Mammalia; Rodentia; Muridae. The record is from RNAcentral.